GACGAACGCUGGCGGCGUGCCUAAUACAUGCAAGUCGAACGCAGUGGGGACGGGUGAUUAACACGUGGGUAACCUCCCAUCAGAGGGGAUAACACUUUGAAACAGGUGCUAAACCGAUACUGAUGUAUGGACCCGCGGUGCAUUAGCUAGUGGGUGAGGUAACGACUCACCAAGGCCACGAUGCCUAGCCGGCCUGAGAGGAUGAUCGGCCACACUGGAACUGAGACACGGCCCAGAAUCCUACGGGAGGCAGCAGUAGGGAAUCUUCGGCAAUGGACGAAAGUCUGACCGAGCAACGCCGCGUGAGUGAAGAAGGUUUUCGGAUCGUAAAACUCUGUUGUUAGAGAAGCGGUAUCUAACCAAAAAGCCACGGCUAACUACGUGCCAGCAGCCGCGGUAAUUC
Molecule: ribosomal RNA, 403 nt
Filed under: uncultured bacterium
Lineage: Bacteria
Description: partial 16S ribosomal RNA
Rfam family: Bacterial small subunit ribosomal RNA
Source: RNAcentral